RNAcentral lists this transfer RNA (69 nucleotides) under Ictidomys tridecemlineatus (thirteen-lined ground squirrel). RNAcentral's name for it is "Spermophilus tridecemlineatus (thirteen-lined ground squirrel) tRNA". It matches the Rfam family "tRNA". From Rfam's summary of the family: Transfer RNA (tRNA) molecules are approximately 80 nucleotides in length. Lineage: Eukaryota; Metazoa; Chordata; Mammalia; Rodentia; Sciuridae. The record is from Rfam by way of RNAcentral.
GGGGUUGUAGCUCAGUGGUAGAGCGCUUGCCUAGCAGGUGUGAGGCACUGAGUUCGCUUCUCAGCACCA